UACGGGAGGCAGCAGUGAGGAAUAUUGGUCAAUGGGCGGAAGCCUGAACCAGCCAAGUAGCGUGCAGGAUGACGGCCCUAUGGGUUGUAAACUGCUUUUAUAGGGGGAUAAAGUGAGGUAUGGAUACCUUUUUGCAUGUACCCUAUGAAUAAGGACCGGCUAAUUCCGUGCCAGCAGCCGCGGUAAU
Molecule: ribosomal RNA, 187 nt
Filed under: uncultured rumen bacterium
Lineage: Bacteria
Description: partial 16S ribosomal RNA
Rfam family: Bacterial small subunit ribosomal RNA
Source: RNAcentral